RNAcentral lists this ribosomal RNA (419 nucleotides) under bacterium. Its description in RNAcentral is "partial 16S ribosomal RNA". It matches the Rfam family "Bacterial small subunit ribosomal RNA", at positions 355 to 776 of the family's 1533-position model. The record is from RNAcentral.
UGGGGGAUAUUGCACAAUGGGCGAAAGCCUGAUGCAGCGACGCCGCGUGGGGGAUGAAGGCCUUCGGGUUGUAAACUUCUUUUGCUCUGAACAAGGCAUGCUAAUGGGUGUGUUGAGUGUAGGGGUUGAUUAGCGCCGGCUAACUACGUGCCAGCAGCCGCGGUAAUACGUAGGGCGCGAGCGUUGUCCGGAAUUAUUGGGCGUAAAGGGCUUGUAGGUGGCUGGUUGCGUCUGUCGUGAAAGCUCAUGGCUUAACUGUGGGUUUGCGGUGGGUACGGGCUGGCUUGAGUGCAGUAGGGGAGGCUGGAAUUCCUGGUGUAGCGGUGUAAUGCGCAGAUAUCAGGAGGAAUACCGGUGGCGAAGGCGGGUCUCUGGGCUGUUACUGACACUGAGGAGCGAAAGCAUGGGGAGCGAACAGG